Macadamia integrifolia is the source of this 1179-nucleotide long non-coding RNA. RefSeq lists it as uncharacterized. NCBI's taxonomy places the organism in Eukaryota, Viridiplantae, Streptophyta, Magnoliopsida, Proteales, Proteaceae. The record is from RefSeq and is a predicted model, not a curated record. The transcript is spliced from 3 exons.
AAUGCAAAUGACCAGUAACAUCAAUCUAUUAAUGGAUCUGUGAUUCCCUAAUUACAUAUUGUUUUUAUUUAUUUUUCUCGAAAAGUCCCUAAUCACAUAUUCAUUAAAAUAGUACUCAAAAUAUGCAGAAACAAUUUUAGAUUAAGGAUAACCAUAAGAAUAAGACAAAUAAAAUGAGCACUUCAAAACCCAUUUAUUCAUUAUUAUGGUGACAUAAUCUCUUUUAAUUUUCCCUUUCGAGCCAGGGUGAGAUGAUGUCAACAAUUGUAAAGACAUUGGCAUUGAGUUUGGGGAUAAAUCACAGUGUUACAGUUGUCAAUGCUUGUGGGCGGUUUAAUAUGGAGAAAGGUAAUGAGAGCCAUCUGGGUAUACAUUUCUUGCAAAGAAUCAAGAUAGAUGGAUUCAUCGAUGUUAAGGAUAAUACAGGGUGAGAUGAUGUCAACAAUUGUAAAGACAUUGGCAUUGAGUUUGGGGAUAAAUCACAGUGUUACAGGUACCCUCGCCGUCCUUGUGCUUCUUUUUACAUUCUUUCACGCAUUGAGGUAAACUGAAUUGGAGAUUGCAGUCCCCCAGUUACUCGGUGCAGGUUCCUGCCUCUACUUGGGGUACCAUCUUCUCAACUAAACACAUUUACAAUAAGCAUUAGAAAUAAUAAGGUAAACCCUAAAUCUAAUAUCACUUGUUAGGAUUUAGGUAGAAUUCCUCCUUUCUACUUAACAAUUGAAUUCAAAAAAGAAAAAGGAAGGCCUCAAUGGAAUAUCCUUUUUUAUUUUUUUAUUUUUUUGCUAACGAUGGGUAUCUAGAUCUUCGGCCUGACUUGUCCCGUGUGCUCAUACUGACCCCACAACCGCAUGGACCAGGUCAUACCGGGAUUGAAUGAAAACCAUUUAACUUUAACUGAAAGUAGUGAAGAGCACUAAACACCCCCAUGUGAGUGGCCCAAGAUGUGCCUAGUGGGAGUCGAACUUAGGACGUCCGAGUUUACGGCUCGUACCAAGUUCGUUGCUCACCAACUACGCUACUCCCAUGGGUUACUUUAAUAGAAUAUCCAACAAUAAAGUUGAAAGAAAUAAACCUGAGACGAGCAUGAGUAAGGCAAGAAUGAAAAAGGUCACAGAGAGCUUUGCCAUUCUAGAAAUCUCUUAUGUCUUCGAAAUUCUGACUAAAUUGACAAUGAAG